This 254-nucleotide ribosomal RNA is filed under the name uncultured bacterium. Its description in RNAcentral is "partial 16S ribosomal RNA". It matches the Rfam family "Bacterial small subunit ribosomal RNA", at positions 524 to 778 of the family's 1533-position model. The record is from RNAcentral.
UACGAAGGGGGCUAGCGUUGCUCGGAUUGACUGGGCGUAAAGGGCGCGUAGGCGGUUCGUACAGUCAGACGUGAAAUUCCUGGGCUCAACCUGGGGGCUGCGUUUGAUACGUACGGACUUGAGUGCGGAAGAGGGUCGUGGAAUUCCCAGUGUAGAGGUGAAAUUCGUAGAUAUUGGGAAGAACACCGGUGGCGAAGGCGGCGACCUGGUCCGAUACUGACGCUGAGGCGCGAAAGCGUGGGGAGCAACAGGAU